GUGAGGAAUUUUGCGCAAUGGGGGCAACCCUGACGCAGCGACGCCGCGUGGAGGACGAAGUCUUUCGGGAUGUAAACUCCUGUCAGUGGGGACGAUAAUGACGGUACCCACAGAGGAAGCACCGGCUAACUCCGUGCCAGCAGCCGCGGUAAGACGGAGGGUGCAAGCGUUGUUCGGAAUUACUGGGCGUAAAGCGUAUGUAGGCGGCAAGUUAAGUUCGAUGUUAAAGCCCACGGCUCAACCGAGGAGAUGCAUUGAAUACUGGCUAGCUAGAGGGUGUUAGAGGAAGACGGAAUUCCCAGUGUAGCGGUGAAAUGCGUAGAUAUUGGGAGGAACAUCGGUAGCGAAAGCGGUCUUCUGGGACAUACCUGACGCUGAGGUACGAAAGCGUGGGGAGCAAACGGGAUUAGAUACCCCAGUAGUCC
This 425-nucleotide ribosomal RNA is filed under the name uncultured bacterium. Its description in RNAcentral is "bacterial SSU rRNA". It matches the Rfam family "Bacterial small subunit ribosomal RNA", at positions 354 to 796 of the family's 1533-position model. The record is from RNAcentral.